CCAGGGGGUUCAGAUCCCACCCCAGGGGGGUCUCACCCAGCCCGGGGGGCUCCCGGCAGGUCCCGGCAGGGCAGCGAGAAGGAAACAACACCAAACCCCAAAUCCUUUCCUGAUGGGAUCGGGACCAGAUCCCACCUGGAGGGACCAGAUCCCACCCGAGGGGGUUCAGAUCCCCCCCGGGGGGUCUCACCCAGCUCGGGGGGCUCCCGGCAGGUCCCGGCAGGGCAGCGAGAAGGGGACACAAGACCCGACCCCAAAUCCUUUCCUGAUGGGAUCGGGACCAGAUCCCACCUGAGGGGGUCAAACCCCACCCGAGGGGGUUCAGAUCCCCCCCGGGGGGUCUCACCCAGCCCGGGGGGCUCCCGGCAGGUCCCGGUAGGGCAGCGAGAGGGGACACAAGACCCGACCCCAAAUCCUUUCCUGAUGGGAUCAGGGCUGGAUCCUGCCCCAUGGAGGGGUCAGAUCCCACCUGAGGGGAUCAAACCCCACCUGGAGGGGAUCAAACCCCACCUGAGGGGGUUCAGAUCCCCCCCGGGGGGUCUCACCCAGCUCGGGGGGCUCCCGGCAGGUCCCGGCAGGGCAGCGAGAAGGAAACAACACCAAACCCCAAAUCCUUUCCUGAUGGGAUCAGGGCUGGAUCCCACCUGGAGGAAUCAGAUCC
RNAcentral lists this long non-coding RNA (661 nucleotides) under Cyanistes caeruleus (blue tit). RNAcentral's name for it is "lncRNA (ENSCCEG00000003583.1)". Lineage: Eukaryota; Metazoa; Chordata; Aves; Passeriformes; Paridae. The record is from RNAcentral.